AUUCACUUACCACUAGCAGCAAACCACGGGCAAACAUUCACUUACAACAAGCAACAAACCACAGGUAAACAUUCACUUACUACUAGCAGCAAACCACAGGUAAACAUUCACUUACCACUAGCAACAAACCACAGGUAAACAUUCACUUACUACUAGCAGCAAACCACGGGCAAACAUUGACUUACCACUAGCAACAAACCACAGGUAAACAUUCACUUACCACUAGCAGCAAACCACGGGCAAACAUUCACUUACAACAAGCAACAAACCACAGCUACGACCUCGUGUAAAGAGAGUGAACCUCAGAGACCUGCAGUUUUUGAUGGAGAAUGAGAAGGAUAUGGCAAAAGGAACACUGUUAUACAAAACUCAUCUAAAGUAGAAGGUUAUUCAGCAGUACAAACGUGUUGAAUUAGAUUUCAAACAUUGAUACCUAAUCAAGAUGGAUAUGGAAGAGUAUCUGUAUUUGAUUGUAAACAACUGGUCUGGAUGUAUGUGAAAUGCUGGAGAAAAUUCACUGUUCAUGAUGGACAUCUUUGGUUAGGAUCGAGCUAAGGUACCAAUUAUAGUUAGCUGUAAACAACUGGUCUGGAUGUAUGUGAGAAACUGGAGAAAAUACACUGUUCAUGAUGGACAUCUUUGGUUAGGAUCUAGCUAAGGUACCAACUAUAGUUAGCUGUAAACAACUGGUCUGGAUGUAUGUGAAAAACUGGAGAAAAUACACUGUUCAUGAUGGACAUCUUUGGUUAGGAUUUAGCUAAGGUACCAACUAUAGUUAGCUGUAUACAACUGGUCUGGAUGUAUGUGAAAAACUGGAGAAAA
Long non-coding RNA from Limulus polyphemus (Atlantic horseshoe crab), 822 nucleotides. RefSeq lists it as uncharacterized. The transcript has 2 exons. NCBI's taxonomy places the organism in Eukaryota, Metazoa, Arthropoda, Merostomata, Xiphosura, Limulidae. The record is from RefSeq and is a predicted model, not a curated record.